Molecule: ribosomal RNA, 468 nt
Filed under: uncultured bacterium
Lineage: Bacteria
Description: partial 16S ribosomal RNA
Rfam family: Bacterial small subunit ribosomal RNA
Source: RNAcentral
GACGAACGCUGGCGGCGUGCUUAACACAUGCGAGUCGAACGGAAAGGCCCUGCUUUUGUGGGGUGCUCGAGUGGCGAACGGGUGAGUAACACGUGAGUAACCUGCCCUUGACUUUGGGAUAACUUCAGGAAACUGGGGCUAAUACCGGAUAGGAGCUCCUGCUGCAUGGUGGGGGUUGGAAAGUUUCGGCGGUUGGGGAUGGACUCGCGGCUUAUCAGCUUGUUGGUGGGGUAGUGGCUUACCAAGGCUUUGACGGGUAGCCGGCCUGAGAGGGUGACCGGCCAAAUUGGGGCUGGGGUACGGCCCAGACUCCUUAGGGGGGCAGGAGUGGGGAAUAUUGCACAAUGGGCGGAAGCCUGAUGCAGCAACGCCGCGUGCGGGAUGACGGCCUUCGGGUUGUAAACCGCUUUCGCCUGUGACGAAGCGUGAGUGACGGUAAUGGGUAAAGAAGCACCGGCUAACUACGUG